RNAcentral lists this unclassified non-coding RNA (2467 nucleotides) under Hevea brasiliensis (rubber tree). Lineage: Eukaryota; Viridiplantae; Streptophyta; Magnoliopsida; Malpighiales; Euphorbiaceae. The record is from RNAcentral.
UUUUAACUCACAGCAAUUGGAACAUCCUUUCCUUUUCCCUGCCCAAAGUGCACAAGCAUAAGCAAUCAAUAAGCCCCCAUCUCAUCUUUUCUUAUCUGCCUCUGCCUCUUUCCUUCUCUUCCUUCAAUUCUUUCUUCUCUUUGAUUCUCUUCUUCUUCUAUAUAUAUUUAUAUAUAUCCUCUUGUUGGAGAGGGUUGGUUGGGUUUUAAGGUAUUUUGCUGUCUAUGAGGAUGGAACAUUAAAGUGGAAGAGCCACGAUAUGACAAAUGCAAAUACCAUGCAAGCAAGCAAAAAAUUCAGGAAGCGAUGGCCAUGCCAGAAACUUCGAGUUUCCGAAUGGUGUGUCGAUGCAGGGACUGCAGCCACUGCCGUAGAAUUGUUGGUCUCAUUUGAAUGCUCUAUCAUCUCGAUCUCAUUUACUCCAACGACAUUACGAGCAAUGGAAUGACAAAUCUCACAGGUCCUGAUAGAUAUCAAGUAUGAUAAAUGAAUAUACAAAAAGAGAAAUAAAUUAUAGAACAAAAAUGAGAUCAAGUUUUCAUUAUCAAAAGGAAAAUUUUUAAUAUUUGUAACAUGUUUUGGAGUUCAAAAGAGAAAUCAACUACAUCUAUUAAGUAACAGAUGUCUCCUUCAGAGUGAAAAAACUCAAAACAGCAUAACAAUUCCCAGCAAGCUGGAAAAAAGAAAAAAAAUGCAAGCACAAUCCAGAUUAAAGAGGCUAAUUAAUAUUGAACAAGGUCUAGGAUGAAAAUGAAGAAGUGAUGAAAGGAAAUAUUUAUGCCAAACAUGUCAAUACAACAGAUCAAUUUUUGGAAAUUUACCAAGACAUCAAACUGCUACAGUUACAAGCAAAAGAUUUGAAACAUAAGAAAUGCUUAGACGAAGAAUUGGCAGAAAGUUAAGGAUUGGAAUAUUUCUAAAACACAAAAUACUUUGCAUACAAUGUCGCCUUCAAAAUCAGCUUAAGAAUAAUUAGUUAAUGUUGAAUUUCAUGAUGGCGUAGGAUUAAAAAUAUAUACCGCAUAUUUUAUAAUAUGCUUUCAAAUGACAAAAACAAUUUUCCAUAUAGGGAGAAAUAAGAUCGAAUGUGAGGUCCUUGCCAUUGCUAUUAAAAGCAUGCAUUUUUAUUUCCCUUUCAACUCAACAUGAAUUCCUGGAUUGACCAUUACCUUUUUUCGGUUUCCAGAUAAAAACUUGCCCCACCAGAUUGCUUUGCCCUGUCAAGUUUAAAAUAAUAUCCAAUCUAAAACUACAGCAAUCAUUUUUCCAACAUCUAAUAAAGAUCACAACCAUACAGACUGGUAAGGAAUUGUCGGUGCAAUUAGACAUAUCAUGAGGACUUGUGUCCUACUGCUCUCUAAUCUUUUGCUUUACUUUUUCCAUAAACUUGAUCAGGAAACGCAAUUUUCCACCACUUUAACUUUAUGUUACAAGUGAUCAGAGUCUCUAACCUUAUAUUAUGUUUCACAUCCAAUUUAACUAUAUUCAGAUACAGCCAACCUUUCGUUCUUUUUUUCUUUUGCAUCUUUAAUGAGCGAUUAUCAUUAGCAUUCCUUGAAGAAAAGGAAAACUCAACUGCUGAACUGUCAGUAAGUACUAUAGGCACUCGUUAGACUAUUAGGAACAGAUAAAUAAAUCAUUUAUUAUAUCAGAAAAUGCAUGAACAUGACACUACCAUAUUAACAAAAUUUACAAUCCAAAUAAUGUUUUUUUUUUAAAAAAAAGGGGGGCAAAGCACUUAAUUUUUCUACUUACUUGUUUCCUUUAAUUUUGAACCAAGCCUCAGCACACUGUUUAUGAGCAGCAGCCAAAUCGUCCUUACAGGAACAGCCCAAUUCAAUUGGAACCCCGGAUUCAUAGCUAUUGCUUUCCAGACCCAGAUGGCAUAUCCUACAAUCUCUCUCAACCUCAACCUUAGCCAAAUGCACCUUUAUCUCAGCUACCCGACUUUCAAUCUCCACCUCCACAGAGCAAUCAGACACAGAAGAUACUCUCCUAGAAUCCGGAACGACGCCGUCUACAAUCUCAGGAUCAGAUACACAAGCGAAAGUGUAUUCGUCAUAGGAGCCACCCGUGGAUGAAUAAAACUGAGAGUAGCAAGACCCGUCUUCUGCAUCGAAAAAGCAGGUGACAUCACUUCCUGUGACGGAACGGCGGUGGCUCCCCCGCUCCAAAUCGAUGUGGGACAUUUCUAAAGCAGACAUUUUUUUUUAAAAAAAUUAAUCUGGAAUGAAGAACUUGCUUAAAGAAACUUGGGUCUUGGGGCGAAAAGAUUGAAUGUAAAUACUUAUAGUUUGGAGCUCUGGGUGAUGCCAAGAAUCAAGAAGUUAAUAAAUGGGUAUUGGAUUAGGUGACCCUGCAACUCCAUCAACAUUUACUUUCGCUAACCAAAAUCAAAAGCUCAAAAGAGAAAAUUAUUGAAUAUUAAUUAUUGAAGAAAGCAAGUAGGAGAGAGAGAGAGAGAGAG